This 107-nucleotide transfer RNA is filed under the name Lasallia pustulata. Its description in RNAcentral is "Umbilicaria pustulata tRNA-Arg". It matches the Rfam family "tRNA". Rfam says of the family: Transfer RNA (tRNA) molecules are approximately 80 nucleotides in length. Their secondary structure includes four short double-helical elements and three loops (D, anti-codon, and T loops). Lineage: Eukaryota; Fungi; Ascomycota; Lecanoromycetes; Umbilicariales; Umbilicariaceae. The record is from RNAcentral.
GCCCUUCUGGCGCAAUGGUAGCGCGCCAGACUUCUAAGUCUGAAGAUGGGAAAUAAUCUUCACCACGCGGCAUCUGGAGGUUGUGGGUUCGAGUCCCACGAGGGGUG